GACGAACGCUGGCGGCGUGCUUAACACAUGCAAGUCGAACGGAAAGGCCCUGCUUGCAGGGUACUCGAGUGGCGAACGGGCGAGUAACACGUGGGUGAUCUGCCCUGCACUUCGGGAUAAGCCUGGGAAACUGGGUCUAAUACCGGAUAGGAGCCAUUUUUAGUGUGAUGGUUGGAAAGUUUUUUCGGUGUAGGAUGAGCUCGCGGCCUAUCAGCUUGUUGGUGGGGUAAUGGCCUACCAAGGCGGCGACGGGUAGCCGGCCUGAGAGGGUGGACGGCCACAUUGGGACUGAGGUAGCGUCCGGACUCCUACGGGAGGCAGCAGUGAGGAAUAUUGCACAAUGAGCGCAAGCCUGAUGCAGCGACGCCGCGUGGUGGAUGGCGGCCUUCGGAUUGUAAACUCCUUUCGCUAGGGACGAAGCUUUUGUGACGGUACCUAGAUAAGAAGCACCGGCUAACUACAUG
Molecule: ribosomal RNA, 464 nt
Filed under: uncultured bacterium
Lineage: Bacteria
Description: partial 16S ribosomal RNA
Rfam family: Bacterial small subunit ribosomal RNA
Source: RNAcentral